RNAcentral lists this ribosomal RNA (252 nucleotides) under uncultured Odoribacter sp. Its description in RNAcentral is "partial 16S ribosomal RNA". It matches the Rfam family "Bacterial small subunit ribosomal RNA", at positions 524 to 776 of the family's 1533-position model. The record is from RNAcentral. Lineage: Bacteria; Pseudomonadati; Bacteroidota; Bacteroidia; Bacteroidales; Odoribacteraceae.
UACGUAGGAGGCAAGCGUUAUCCGGAAUGACUGGGCGUAAAGGGUGCGUAGGCGGUAUUUUAAGUUAGUGGUAAAACGUCGGGGCUUCACCUUGAUUGGCCAUUAAAACUGGAGUACUAGAGUACAGACGAGGUAGGCGGAAUAAGUUAAGUAGCGGUGAAAUGCUUAGAUAUAACUUAGAACCCCGAUAGCGAAGGCAGCUUACCAGACUGUUACUGACGCUGAAGCACGAGAGCGUGGGUAGCGAACAGG